This 912-nucleotide ribosomal RNA is filed under the name Methanocalculus sp. enrichment culture clone AF19. RNAcentral describes it as "bacterial SSU rRNA". It matches the Rfam family "Archaeal small subunit ribosomal RNA", at positions 1 to 922 of the family's 1478-position model. Lineage: Archaea; Methanobacteriati; Methanobacteriota; Methanomicrobia; Methanomicrobiales; Methanocalculaceae. The record is from RNAcentral.
UUCCGGUUGAUCCUGCCGGAGGCUAUUGCUAUCAGGGUUUGACUAAGCCAUGCGAGUCGAGAGGUGAAAGACCUCGGCAUACUGCUCAGUAACACGUGGAUAAUCUGCCCUCAGGUGAGGAAUAAUCCCGGGAAACUGGGGCUAAUGCCUCAUAGGAGACGGGUGCUGGAAUGCUCUGUCUCCGAAAGGUCCGCCGCCUGAGGAUGAGUCUGCGUCCGAUUAGGUUGUUGUUGGGGUAACGGCCCAACAAGCCUUUGAUCGGUACGGGUUGUGGGAGCAAGAGCCCGGAGAUGGAUUCUGAGACAUGAAUCCAGGCCCUACGGGGCGCAGCAGGCGCGAAAACUUUACAAUGCGAGCAAUCGUGAUAAGGAAACCCUGAGUGCCUGUCAAUGCAGGCUGUUCUGGUGUCUAACACACACCAGGAGAAAGGGCGGGGCAAGACCGGUGCCAGCCGCCGCGGUAAUACCGGCUGCUCGAGUGAUAGCCACUUUUACUGGGCUUAAAGCGUUCGUAGCUUGGUCGUUAAGUCUCUGGGGAAAUCUUUUGGCUCAACCAAAAGGCGUCUCAGGGAAACUGACGAUCUUGGAACCGGGAGAGGUAAGACGUACUUCGGGGGUAGGAGUGAAAUCUUGUAAUCCCCGAGGGACGACCGAUGGCGAAGGCAUCUUACCAGAACGGCUUCGACAGUGAGGGACGAAAGCUGGGGGAGCAAACCGGAUUAGAUACCCGGGUAGUCCCAGCCGUAAACGAUGUGCGUUAGGUGUGUCAGUGACCACGAGUCGCUGAGGUGCCGAAGGGAAACCGUGAAACGCACCGCCUGGGAAGUACGGUCGCAAGGCUGAAACUUAAAGGAAUUGGCGGGGGAGCACCACAACGGGUGGGGCCUGCGGUUUAAUUGGAUUCAACGCCGGG